RNAcentral lists this ribosomal RNA (493 nucleotides) under uncultured bacterium. Its description in RNAcentral is "partial 16S ribosomal RNA". It matches the Rfam family "Bacterial small subunit ribosomal RNA", at positions 30 to 523 of the family's 1533-position model. The record is from RNAcentral.
AUUGAACGCUGGCGGCAUGCCUUACACAUGCAAGUCGAACGGCAACAGGUUAAGCUGACGAGUGGCGAACGGGUGAGUAAUAUAUCGGAACGUGCCCAGUCGUGGGGGAUAACGUAGCGAAAGCUACGCUAAUACCGCAUACGAUCUACGGAUGAAAGCGGGGGAUCGCAAGACCUCGCGCGAUUGGGGCGGCCGAUAUCAGAUUAGGUUGUUGGUGAGGUAAAAGCUCACCAAGCCUGCGAUCUGUAGCUGGUCUGAGAGGACGACCAGCCACACUGGAACUGAGACACGGUCCAGACUCCUACGGGAGGCAGCAGUGGGGAAUUUUGGACAAUGGACGCAAGUCUGAUCCAGCAAUGCCGGGUGCAGGACGAAGGCCUUCGGGUUGUAAACUGCUUUUGUACGGAACGAAACGGUGAGCUCUAAUAUAGUUUGCUAAUGACGGUACCGUAAGAAUAAGCACCGGCUAACUACGUGCCAGCCGCCGCAGUAA